RNAcentral lists this small RNA (318 nucleotides) under Drosophila virilis. RNAcentral's name for it is "GJ26509". The record is from RNAcentral. Lineage: Eukaryota; Metazoa; Arthropoda; Insecta; Diptera; Drosophilidae.
GCAUUUCGUGCGUGUCAGAUCGUUCGUCGUGCACUUCGUUCAACAAAAGCGACUAAAUUAGUGCCAAAUUUUACAACACAUGUCAUUUCAAACAAAAAAAAAAAAAAAAAGUAAUAAUAAAUACUGUGUGUGUAUGUGUGCAUGUGCAUGCAUAUCUGUGUGUGCGUGUGAGGAAGUUACAGUUUAAUGUUGGUUAGUCUCAAUUGUCGACGGCGACGCAUUGCGGCUGAUUGAUGCCAGUUGCUGCUGUUGUUGUUGCCUGCUGCUUUGGACAAACAAAUCAUGCAACAUGAGCCGAGAACUGAACGUGCUUUUAAC